This 4442-nucleotide long non-coding RNA is filed under the name Mus musculus (house mouse). RNAcentral describes it as "RIKEN cDNA A430088P11 gene (A430088P11Rik)". The record is from RNAcentral. Lineage: Eukaryota; Metazoa; Chordata; Mammalia; Rodentia; Muridae.
AGAUACCCAGUACAUCUCCAGAGGCAGUAGCAUUUUGAAGACAGUAUGUCGGCAGGGUAGUGAAUGACCCAAAGACGACUUACGGGAGAAAGCCAAGCUACAAGGAGGAUUAGUACUGUUGAGGAGUGGUGGUGCACACCUUCAAUCCCAGCACUCGGCAAGCAGAGGCAGGUGGAUCACUGAGUUCAAGGCCAGCCUGGUCUACAGAGCGAGUUCCAGGACAACACCCUGUCUCAAACAAACCAACCAAACCAAAAAACUAAACCAACCCAAAAGAGGAUCUUCAUCCUGCAGCCUACGAAGAGAUGAGGGGCAUGCAAGCUGGCGAGCAGGAGGACUGGGAGUACCACAGCCUGGGGCACAUGGAUGACAGCCAGCUGGAAGGGCGUCACAUUCUUUAUCUGGAACAUUCUUCCUCUGGUGUCCAUGUGUCCAUCUGAGGCUCUGCUCCAGUGUUCCUUAACCAGUGAGGCAUACCCUGGACACCUGUAUAGCAGUGACAACACUCCCUGCCUUCAACUGUCCCUAAGAUUUCUGAGCACAGCCCAGCAGUUCAGACUCUGUUCACAGGAUUUCUAAACAAGGAUGCCCCUGGCUGUGCCGUCCUGAGACUACGAAAUCUCUGUCCCAGAGAGCCUGUAUAGGUGCAGGUGGUGGCAAGUGGCCUGGAAGGCAGCAGCUAAUAGCAGUGCAGGAGCAAGGCUUAGAGAAAAAGAAAAACUGCAAAGGACAACCAGCUUCAGCCACUAGAGGGGGCUCUGGGUCUUCAAACCGCCAGGCUGAUUCCAUUAUGCACCCCCCGCCCCCCAGCCCCAAAGGAGGCAAUUCUGUGAGAUUCUCCCCAGGGCCACACCUGGGUUUGCAAAAAUUUGCAUGCUGUUUGACAACUAUAUACUUCUUAUCAAGCAAUUUUACAGGCUGUCAGCUCUCGGCUUUUCCUAUCUCUCUCUUUCGCCCACCCUGUCAUCCACCCACGUUCUCUGACAAGAGGGUGCAGAGACAGAUAGGACAGUCAGCAUCAACUCAAAGGGACCUCAGAAGCCCUCCCCAGCUUACCCCUCCUCCUCCAGAAGAGGAGACAGCCCGGGAGAGGGGAGGGCAGCGAUUGUGCCACCACUGUCUGUUGUCGCUUGCAUGCUCCCUGUGGGAAGGGGAUUCCCUCCCUGGAUGGAUUCCUUCUCUGAGGAAGAAGCUGAAGUGGUUCCAAUCCAACCCAGGCUCCAGCUCCCCCAGGGCUGGGCCCAUGCUGUGCUGUGAGGUGUGUGUGUAGUCAGCUGCUCAGCUGCUGCCACCCUGAAGAAGGGAACUGGAGGUUCCGCAGCCUGGGGUUGGGGGGUAGAGAGGGGUUAGGAAGAGCCUUUGGGAGGAGAAACUCUGUGUCUCAACUCUGCCUUUGAGCAAGAAUGAAGCAGGGGCCAGAGGUCUUUAGAGCGCUGGGACUUCAGGGACUUGAUGAGGGUGGCAGUGUGUGUGUGUGUGUGUGUGUGUGUGUGUGUGUGUGUGUGUGUGUGUAUGCGCACGCUACCUCUAUGUUCUUCCCAAGGCUGAAGCUGGACACUUCAGACUUUCCUAUGAGUGUCAGCCACUCUCACUCAGCCCUUCUGCUCAGAGCUCCCAAAGGCGCACAAUGGGGUCUGCUUGUUGGCUCCAGAGCACCAUGUACAAAUGCUCGGAGAUAGGAGGCAGUGGCAAACGCUAACUGCCCAAGUCAUCUAAGCUGGGGAAUCUGACAGGAGAGGCAGCAGGAAGGGACAGACAAUGGGCUUUGGGUUUCUAUGGAAACAGCACCUCAGGGUGAGGGGCAAGGGAAGAGAGCUUCCAUCUCACUUCCAGUCAGGAGUUGGGAAACAGCCCCUUUGUGGUUGGCCUCACCCCCUCCUCUUUCUUGCCAGGUGUUCACCAUGGCAACCCUCCUUCCAAAUAAGAGGCACAGCACAUCAGCAUCUGGUGCUGGGGAGCUAGGGAAGCCCAAGGGGAAUGGGAAUGAGAGACCAAGCACUCCUCCUUGACAGGAAGAGGUCCAGGCCUGGCUUUGAGGCAGGCUUAUAGUCAUUUCCCAUGUUCCCCCAGUUUCCACCUGCAUCUUGCCUCAGUGGUCAUGAGGGUGAAGCGAAGGAAAGUGCCCUUGCAGAACCUGGCCUGCCUUGCUGCUCAGGGAGCGCGGACCCACUAGAGGCAGGGGAAAAGGGAGAGGUGUCCUGGUGCUCAUCCUGUGUCACAUUCUGCUUUGUCUGGUGUCAUCACCAGACUCCUGAAAGAUGAUAAUGGAGACUGCUCCAGAGAGAAAAAAGACAGGGCUUCAAGGAGAUCCCAGAUCGAUGGUUAGAAACGUUGUCACCACAUCAACAAUCUCUCCCAGAGGGCAAAUCCACUUUUCAAAUAGACAUGGGGGAAAACAGUUCUACAUAUUACCACAGACACUGGGAGGCUGGGUCAGGGCAUUGGUGGGACCAGGUAAAGGUGGGAUAUGUCUGGUUUGGUUAGAUCCUGAUGACAGCAAGGAACAAGGUGGCCAGAAAGAGCCCUAGACUCUGUUUAUUUAUAAUAGAAAAGCUUGUCCUGUUUCCUUCCUUUACUGUGUUCCAGUGAAGGUGAUCUGAAAACAUGGAGGUAAGAGUCCUCAAGGGCCGUCCAGACCCACUGCUGUGCUCAACACUAAGCAAACCACACAUCACUCUUCCCUCAGAGACCAGGAUCUGAAACUGUGACCUGCAGACUUGCCCAGGGUCCCCAGGUUCAAUGAGACAGACCAGGACUGGGGGGAGGCCCUUCUGACCCAGGAGAGCCUUCCUGCUUCCUGCCAGCAAACUGUACCCUGUGUCUGGGAGGCAGACAGCCCAUAAGGGCCAUGUGUGCGGCCAGGAGCUCACCUGAUAUGUUGGCAUUGGAACCCUCAUUGUGCCUCUUUCCCAGAGGAAACUCCACAUCGGCAAACGUCUCAGUGGAGGGGGAGCUGGCCAUGCUGCUGGGCACUGCAGGCCUCUUCACUCGACGGCUGAAGAGCCUGCUGCUGAAGCGUUUGCCCUCCUUGGCUGGGGUGGCCUCCCCAUUGGCAGCUUCUCCCUUGCCAUUCUGGGGCAGUGCCUCUCGGGACCUGUGCUUCGCGUCUGUGUGUGCAUGAGAGACCGGUCUGCCAUUGGUAGGUCUCUGCAAUCUUGGGGAAAUGGGCUCCACAGUGGGCAAUAUCUGCUCUACUGUGACCAGGUCAUUCAGAAAGCUCUCCAGACGCCGGGCAGACUCACCACCGCCACUGCCCUCCUCCUGCCCCUCUACGUUGCCACCAGCUUCUCGCUGCUGCCGGGCCGCCCAGCGCAUCAUCUCUCCUGGAGGACGGCGGGUGCCUGCCACCAAUGCGUACUUGGGGUUGAUAAGCUUUCGAGCUACCGUGGAGGAGUAGUUGAGGCCAAUCCUGCCUGCCAGGCCCAGGUGCUGGUGCAAGUUCACUUCCUCCGAGAUGGCAUACAGCUCCCGGAACUCUAUGUCAAAGGGCUCCAUGUUCUGUCCUGUCAGGAGCAAGAGGAGAUUCCUGUCCACAUAGGAGGAGCUCCAGGUAAAGCUGGGGACAGAAAAGCAGAGACAUGGAUGGGCCCGGACCUCUCUCUCCAGUGCCCUACCAGUAGCUCCUUCACUGCCAGCCUCAGCCUGCCCCGUGGGCACACUGCCUGAUGUUUGGAGAAAGGUGCCCCUUGCCCUCACACUGGACCACUCUCCUUCCACCAGGCCAGAUUCUCCUUUCCUUUCCAUUGGGGCUUGAGAAGUCAGACCUAGAGGCACAUCUUUACAGUGGGGCUUAUAGGACCUAAGGUAGAACACGCCACAGGAAGUGUUCUUAACUCAAGACUUUGAGGCUCAAAUGAAAUAGCCAGCUAAAUACCUGGCACUGAUGCAUGCAAUGCAUGGGAACUAAACUGCACCACUGCCAGCCUGCUGCUGACCGUUCCCAGAGCGUACAGUGCCUGCAAAACUCUUACUUUAACUGCAGGAGAGGACUCAGAUCACUUACUCAUGGCUACAAUAUACUCAAGACUCACCUUGACUUUGACUUUUUCAGAGGAAAGAGAUGACUCAGAUACAGGUUCUCAUGCACCUGGUACUUUGCCUUUCUAGUCAAAUUCUGGGGUCAUCUCUCUGUGCUCCAUCUAUAGCAGUGUGAAUGAAAAUGGCCCCCAUAGCCUCAUCUGUUUGAACGCUUAGUCCCCAGUUGGAGGACCAUGGCCUUCUUGCUGGAGGCGUGCCACUGUGGAUGGGAUUUGAAGUUUCAGAAACCCAUGUCAUUCCCCGUCAGCUUUCUUUGCCAUGUGCGUGUGGAUAAGAUGUAAGCUCUCAGCUGCUGCUCCAGCGCCACACCUGCCUGCCUGCUGCCAUGCUCCCUGCUAUGAUGAUCAUGGACUCUAACCCUCUGGAUCCAUGACCCCCCAAACUAAAGCUUUCUUUUAAGUCGC